GUAGGGAAUAUUGGGCAAUGGAGGCAACUCUGACCCAGUCAUGCCGCGUGCAGGAUGACGGCCCUCUGGGUUGUAAACUGCUUUUAUACGGGAAGAAAAAAUACUACGUGUAGUAUACUGACGGUACCGUAAGAAUAAGGAUCGGCUAACUCCGUGCCAGCAGCCGCGGUAAUACGGAGGAUCCAAGCGUUGUCCGGAUUUAUUGGGUUUAAAGGGUGCGUAGGCGGAUCUUUAAGUCAGUGGUGAAAGCCUGCAGCUUAACUGUAGAAUUGCCAUUGAAACUGAAGAUCUUGAAUGUGGUUAAAGUAGGCGGAAUGUAUCAUGUAGCGGUGAAAUGCUUAGAUAUGAUACAGAACACCGAUAGCGAAGGCAGCUUGCUGAACCAUUAUUGACGCUGAGGCACGAAAGCGUGGGGAGCGAACAGGAUUAGAAACCCGGGUAGUCC
This 445-nucleotide ribosomal RNA is filed under the name uncultured bacterium. RNAcentral's name for it is "partial 16S ribosomal RNA". It matches the Rfam family "Bacterial small subunit ribosomal RNA", at positions 354 to 796 of the family's 1533-position model. The record is from RNAcentral.